GUCAGACCCACUCAGGACACAGCAUGGACAUGAGGGUCCCUGCUCAGCUCCUGGGGCUCCUGCUGCUCUGGCUCCCAGGUGCCAGAGGUGACAUCCAGAUGACCCAGUCUCCAUCCUCCGUGUCUGCAUCUGUAGGAGACAGAGUCACCAUCACUUGUCGGGCAAGUCAGAGCAUUAGCAGCUGGUUAGCAUGGUAUCAGCAAAAACCAGGGAAAGCCCCUAAGCUCCUGAUCUAUAAGGCGUCCAAUUUGCAAAGUGGGGUCCCAUCAAGGUUCAGCGGCAGUGGAUCUGGGACAGAUUUCACUCUUACCAUCAGCAGCCUGCAGCCUGAAGAUUUUGCAACUUAUUACUGUCAACAGUAUAAUAGUUACCCUCCCACAGUGUUACACACCCGAACAAAAACCCCCAGGGAAGCAGAUGUGUGA
Molecule: non-coding RNA, 425 nt
Organism: Pongo pygmaeus (Bornean orangutan)
Lineage: Eukaryota; Metazoa; Chordata; Mammalia; Primates; Hominidae
Source: the annotation of a RefSeq genome assembly